Molecule: ribosomal RNA, 450 nt
Filed under: uncultured bacterium
Lineage: Bacteria
Description: partial 16S ribosomal RNA
Rfam family: Bacterial small subunit ribosomal RNA
Source: RNAcentral
GUGGGGAAUAUUGGACAAUGGGCGAAAGCCUGAUCCAGCCAUGCCGCGUGUGUGAAGAAGGUCUUCGGAUUGUAAAGCACUUUAAGUUGGGAGGAAGGGCAGUAAGUUAAUACCUUGCUGUUUUGACGUUACCAACAGAAUAAGCACCGGCUAACUUCGUGCCAGCAGCCGCGGUAAUACGAAGGGUGCAAGCGUUAAUCGGAAUUACUGGGCGUAAAGCGCGCGUAGGUGGUUCAGCAAGUUGAAGGUGAAAUCCCCGGGAUCAACCUGGGAACUAGCUCCAAAACUACUGAGCUAGAGUACGGUAGAGGGUAGUGGAAUUUCCUGUGUAGCGGUGAAAUGCGUAGAUAUAGGAAGGAACACCAGUGGCGAAGGCGACUACCUGGACUGAUACUGACACUGAGGUGCGAAAGCGUGGGGAGCAAACAGGAUUAGAAACCCGAGUAGUCC